AGUUUGAGCAAAUUCCGGGAGUUGGUGAAGGACAGGGAAGCCUGGUGUGCUGAAGUCCAUGGGGUCACAAAAAGCUGGACUGACCUAAACCUAAUCUCGGUUAUGUGAUUUAAUUCUUAUUACUGAACUUUGCAUUUUCUACUUCUGCAAUCCCUAUAUAAGACAUAAAAACCCAACCACACCAGAAUCCCCAUACCAGAAGAGUAGCUUUCAGAGAAGUCUGUGCAUAUUCCUUUAAUAAAUCUAGAAAAGACUGCCGAGUUUCCUCCAAUAUCUUUUAUUUCCUUAUUCCUCACUAAAAGGAUCCUGGAAUACAGGACUGCCAGAAUAAAGACUAUACUUCCCAGCCUCCUUGCAGCUGCAUUUGCCUGUUCAAGUACAUUUGGGCCAAAGAGAUAUGCAGCUGCCGCUGAAUGGUGAUAUGUUAAUAAGGUACUCACUUGCCUAUUCUUCAGGUACUCCGGCAUUCUCUACCUAGGUAAUCUCCAUAUAGGAAAAGCUAUUAGGGGGUUGUAUCUGCUACCACACCUUCAAUUAUAUUAACACCUGCACUGAUAAUCCAGUAAGGGAAAACUAUUGAUUAGGAAACUGUUGUUACGAAAACUCUGACAGACGCCAUUGAAAACAUACUGGCUUAUGGUAGUGAAACUUUGAAGCAAACUUUUAAGUUCUGAUUACUCUUAGCCUGGGCUACAUCUCUAUGCACCAGAGAAACGAUCUCAUUAACAAAGUAGUUCUGUGUGUCCUUAAUACUGAGGCCCUAGACUGCAGCUGGAGGCAGUUCUCUACUCAGCCCGCAGUGCCGAGUGACACAGGCAGGCGACAUCAUCUGAGUAGUAACUUCUACUACAUCCAGACAGACUGCGAGAACCAUUUCCAAAUCGUGGGAAGACGUCAGAGAACCAAAGGGGUGGCUGCAAAGUUUUGGACAAGACCUCUACAGGCAACUGGAAGCACAGUGUACCCAGGUGGUAGGGCUCGUCUGUGGCAAUAUAUUUUUCAGUCUGUCCAAUUGAAUAUGGCUGUAAAGGGAAUAAAACCCCAUGUAAUCUCCAGCAGUGACAAUUUAAUCAGUUGUGUAAGGGGAAGAAGCAGAGUCCCCUCAUUUUCAUAUUUGCAUAUUUGAUUUUUGCAUUGGGGAAUAGAGGUUAUGUGUUUCUAUUACUUUCCAUUUGAUUUUAAUAUUUAACCCUUUUAGGAGCAAAUUUCUUCCAAUGGUAGGUAAUAUUGAGUCAAGCUGGUCAAAAAUUAAGAUUUAAUUUUUCAAAUAAAGCUCUGGAUGCAGCA
Bubalus bubalis (water buffalo) is the source of this 1287-nucleotide long non-coding RNA. RefSeq lists it as uncharacterized. Lineage: Eukaryota; Metazoa; Chordata; Mammalia; Artiodactyla; Bovidae. The record is from RefSeq and is a predicted model, not a curated record. The transcript is spliced from 5 exons.